CUAUAAUGCAAGUCGGACGGGAUCCAUCGGUAGCUUGCUACCGAUGGUGAGAGUGGCGCACGGGUGCGUAACGCGUGAGCAACCUGCCCAUAUCAGGGGGAUAGCCCGGAGAAAUCCGGAUUAACACCGCAUGCAACCGGAGGAUGGCAUCAUCUUCCGGUUAAAUAUUCAUAGGAUAUGGAUGGGCUCGCGUGACAUUAGCUAGUUGGUGGGGUAACGGCCCACCAAGGCGACGAUGUCUAGGGGCUCUGAGAGGAGAAUCCCCCACACUGGUACUGAGACACGGACCAGACUCCUACGGGAGGCAGCAGUAAGGAAUAUUGGUCAAUGGGGGCAACCCUGAACCAGCCAUGCCGCGUGCAGGACGACUGCCCUAUGGGUUGUAAACUGCUUUUGUUAGGGAAUAAACCCCACUACGUGUAGUGGGCUGAAUGUACCUAAAGAAUAAGGAUCGGCUAACUCCGUGCCAGCAGCCGCGGUAAUACGGAGGAUCCGAGCGUUAUCCGGAUUUAUUGGGUUUAAAGGGUGCGUAGGCGGCACUUUAAGUCAGGGGUGAAAGACGGCAGCUCAACUGUCGCAGUGCCCUUGAUACUGAAGUGCUUGAAUGCGGUUGAAGACGGCGGAAUGAGACAAGUAGCGGUGAAAUGCAUAGAUAUGUCUCAGAACACCGAUUGCGAAGGCAGCUGUCUAAGCCGUUAUUGACGCUGAUGCACGAAAGCGUGGGGAUCGAACAGGAUUAGAUACCCUGGUAGUCCACGCCCUAAACGAUGAUGACUCGAUGUUUGCGAUAUACCGUAAGCGUCCAAGCGAAAGCGUUAAGUCAUCCACCUGGGGAGUACGCCCGCAAGGGUGAAACUCAAAGGAAUUGACGGGGCCCGCAC
Molecule: ribosomal RNA, 881 nt
Filed under: Sphingobacterium sp. H168
Lineage: Bacteria; Pseudomonadati; Bacteroidota; Sphingobacteriia; Sphingobacteriales; Sphingobacteriaceae
Description: bacterial SSU rRNA
Rfam family: Bacterial small subunit ribosomal RNA
Source: RNAcentral